Molecule: long non-coding RNA, 558 nt
Organism: Malaclemys terrapin pileata
Lineage: Eukaryota; Metazoa; Chordata; Testudines; Emydidae
Exons: 3
Source: RefSeq, a predicted model, not a curated record
CUCCCUUCCCUCUUCUUUCCCCACGCCCCCAUAAACCAUCCCUCCUUUCCCCCAUCCCUGCUCACAUGAAGUUUGUCACCAUGGAAGCCUCAUUCAGUUUGCAUCUCACUGAACUUGGGCUUCAUUGCUGCAGCAUUUUGUAGUGAAGUGCAAGGUGGUAACACAACAAGAGAGUGAAAGCCUGGAUGAAGCCUUCGGAGGACACUUGCUAACUUCAUUGCACAGGAGGCCUGUGGAAAUCCUGCAGCUGAGAGAUCUGCAGCUGGACCCAUCAUACUUCACCGUCGGGGCUAUUGAAUUUAAUUAAAGAAAAAUGACCCAGAGACUCUUAGGAAAACUUGAUUCUCUGGAACAAUAUUCACGCAAAAGACUGGCCAAACAUGCAAAGGUUGAAAGCCCUGGACUUGGGAAAUUGCAGUUAAAGCCAUUUGUGACAACCCCAUUGACAAGUGAAUUUAAAGAAGAUUAUGAUCUACCCAGUGCUAGAACAAUAAAUAUUUCCAGGUCUAAACCUGCACUGCAGUUUUCAGAAGAUGAACAGCUCUUCCUACAUCAGCA